AUUGAACGCUGGCGGCAGGCCUAACACAUGCAAGUCGAACGGCAGCACAGAAGAGCUUGCUCUUUGGGUGGCGAGUGGCGGACGGGUGAGUAAUGUCUGGGAAACUGCCCGAUGGAGGGGGAUAACUACUGGAAACGGUAGCUAAUACCGCAUAACGUCGCAAGACCAAAGUGGGGGACCUUCGGGCCUCACACCAUCGGAUGCGCCCAGAUGGGAUUGGCUCGUAGGUGGGGUAAUGGCUCACCUAGGCGACGAUCCCUAGCUGGUAUGAGAGGAUGCACAGCCACACUGGAACUGGGACACGGUCCAGACUCCUACGGGAGGCAAAAGUGGGGAAUAUUGCACAAUGGGCGCAAGCCUGAUGCAGCCAUGCCGCGUGUAUGAAGAAGGCCUUCGGGUUGUAAAGUACUUUCAGCGGGGAGGAAGGCGGUGAGGUUAAUAACCUCGCCGAUUGACGUUACCCGCAGAAGAAGCACCGGCUAACUCCGUGCCAGCAGCCGCCGUAA
Molecule: ribosomal RNA, 506 nt
Filed under: uncultured bacterium
Lineage: Bacteria
Description: partial 16S ribosomal RNA
Rfam family: Bacterial small subunit ribosomal RNA
Source: RNAcentral